Cuculus canorus (common cuckoo) is the source of this 500-nucleotide long non-coding RNA. RefSeq lists it as uncharacterized. The record is from RefSeq and is a predicted model, not a curated record. The transcript is spliced from 3 exons. Lineage: Eukaryota; Metazoa; Chordata; Aves; Cuculiformes; Cuculidae.
CUGAGCUGCCUGAGUACAUCCUGGACUUUGGCUACGUCAUUCGUGGUAGUACCCACACUCACGUUGUGAAGAUCACCAACACCGGGCGGUUUCCUGUGUCCUUCUGCACUGGCCGAAGGGUCCUGCGUAGCACAGGUUUCCGUGUGGAGCCGGAGCACGUGAAGGACCUGCCGUGCUGUGAGACCGAGUCAUUCACAGUGCACUUUGACUCAGAAAGUGCCAACCUGCCACUGGGAGAGGUGGAUGUGCUCCUGCCCAUCAAGGUUCAGCCCUCCUGCAAGUCAGUGUUUCAUCACACCGCAACCACCACAGGAGAACAUAGCCCAGUCGGAAGGCUCAGCAUCUGCAGAGGGCAGCUCCAGGGAAGAGGCUGCAGAGGAGCCAGCCAAAGGCCUGGGAGCAGCAGGAGAUGCUCUCCAAAAGCCAGCAGAUGCCAACGAUUCCCUGGAAGCAAAUGUAGAUUUUCUUCUGCAGCCACAAGUGUGCUUGGCAGCAGGGCC